UACGGAGGGUGCAAACGUUGCUCGGAAUCAUUGGGCGUAAAGCGCACGUAGGCGGCCUGUUAAGUCGGAUGUGAAAGCCCCGGGCUCAACCCGGGAAGUGCAUACGAAACUGGCAGGCUUGAAUAUGGAAGAGGGUCGCGGAAUUCCCGGUGUAGAGGUGAAAUUCGUAGAUAUCGGGAGGAACACCAGUGGCGAAGGCGGCGACCUGGGCCAAUAUUGACGCUGAGGUACGAAAGCGUGGGGAGCAAACGGG
This 253-nucleotide ribosomal RNA is filed under the name uncultured bacterium. RNAcentral's name for it is "partial 16S ribosomal RNA". It matches the Rfam family "Bacterial small subunit ribosomal RNA", at positions 524 to 776 of the family's 1533-position model. The record is from RNAcentral.